Saccostrea cuccullata (small rock oyster) is the source of this 905-nucleotide long non-coding RNA. RefSeq lists it as uncharacterized. Lineage: Eukaryota; Metazoa; Mollusca; Bivalvia; Ostreida; Ostreidae. The record is from RefSeq and is a predicted model, not a curated record. The transcript is spliced from 3 exons.
AAUAAGACAUUUUAAGUACUCAAUAUUAUCAUUUAAUUUAAAAUAAAAACAUCGGGUAAUUUCAGGUCUUUAGUACAUCCGGGUUUCAGUGUGUCCCAUCGAAAUCGGCAAAUCGGACACAUGUUGAUCAUGUUUACAAAGUGAAGUUGAGGAUUUUCUCACCAUACAAGCCGUAUGUAAACAUGCACGGACAUUUUAUCUGCAGCUCAAAGUACUUUAUCAAUCCUCUGGAGUAUUAUUCUAAGCAAACUUAUCCGAUUUAUAUAUUCUUGUGUGAAUUGUUUACGAGGAAAUUCCGACUGUCACAGUAAUAAACAAGGAUGAACACUCUUGACUCUGUUUCGGAUUCCCCAGUGAUAAUUGUAUCGAAUGAUUAAAGAGCUGACGGUUACAUUUUAAUUUAUGAUUGGCGUGGACCAUGGGAAUGAAUUCGAAGUCAUUUUAUGAUGCCACCACUUGGGAUAGUAAGCUGCAAAUAUAGACUUGUACUCAGCACUUAUUGCCUUUGAGAAGUAAGGGAUCCUUUUCGUGCCAACACCCACACCUACUGUGACACAGAAUCUCGGUUUAUACAGUCUCUUUGGAGUAACCUGUCUCUAGCAUUUAGCAGUGUGACUGUCAUCUGAGUACUGAAAUUUGAUGCCAAGCAUGAUCAUGAUUUGCCAGAAGAGCCUCUUUUGGGAGAUGACAAAGAAUAAACAGCAGAAUGAAAUUGAAACAAUCAACUGAAUCAAGUCUCAGUUUAAGAAGAUGAUUUUAAAUAUAUCAUAUUUAAAUUUUGAUUUGAGAAACAGACAUAAAUCCAAAAAUAUGAUUAUAUCAAUUGCUUUCAGUUUUUCAAGAUAAAUAGAUUUUGUUGCAAAAUCUAAUAUGUUUAAUUUGGAAUAAAUGUUCUUUUAAAUAUU